Long non-coding RNA from Apis florea (little honeybee), 393 nucleotides. The record is from RefSeq and is a predicted model, not a curated record. Lineage: Eukaryota; Metazoa; Arthropoda; Insecta; Hymenoptera; Apidae.
UCUUGAUUGAAUACGAAAGAAAUUAAAACUAAAAUCUGGAUAUUAUUUUCUUCAGUAUUUUCGCAUUGUUAAUUUUAUGAUACAUUUUUUUUUAACAUAUCCUAAGCUUUAUUAUAAUCAAUUACGAAAUAGUAAAUUAUGAUACUGAUAAAAAAACUUGUAAAGAUAUGUAAGAACAAAAUGCAGAAUUUUAUGUAGAAUGAAAUUCUCGUGGUUCUACCUUUUAAAAAGUGCUGGAAUCCAUCCACACAGGUGAUCGUGUGACCGAAAAAGCGACUAUUAAUUGUAUGGAUAAGAAUUGCGCAGGAUCCAAUUGCUGCAAAUAUUUUUGACUGUCCUUGCUCCAGUAAACUGUGCCAUGUUGCUAUGUCACAAUAAAUAAAGAUAACAUUA